GUUUCUAAAGAGGAGGAACGUCAUGAUACGAAAGUUGUUUAUCCUACAACGAGAAGGAAGGACACACCAGCUGCGAUGCUACACACUCUGAAACCGCGAAAAAAAAUCAUUUAUGAGGAACCGCAUCGAAGCAUCUGCAUUUCAAGAAGUAGAUGAGGAAACGGAAUCCGACACGUCAUUGCAGC
Molecule: long non-coding RNA, 185 nt
Organism: Haliotis rubra (blacklip abalone)
Lineage: Eukaryota; Metazoa; Mollusca; Gastropoda; Lepetellida; Haliotidae
Exons: 3
Source: RefSeq, a predicted model, not a curated record